Oryctolagus cuniculus (rabbit) is the source of this 8390-nucleotide non-coding RNA. The record is from RefSeq and is a predicted model, not a curated record. NCBI's taxonomy places the organism in Eukaryota, Metazoa, Chordata, Mammalia, Lagomorpha, Leporidae.
GCCACGGGCGACGUGCGUGGGCGGGGCCUUCGAGAGCGGCGGCCACGCCGGCCAGGGCCGGACCCGCGUGGGGCCGGCGGGAGCGGUUCGGAGGGUCUUUGCUGGACGCAGAAAACGCCGCAGGGGCCGCUCCACGGGUCCGCGCGUGGGAAACGCGAGUUUGCCGGCACCAGUGCGGGUGUGUGCGCGGGGCUCUCCCCGGGCCCGCCGCUGCCUCCUGAGGCGAGGGCCAGGAGGACUCAGCCCAGGGUCGGAGCUGGGCCGCGGCGUGGGCAGCCCGGGGCACACGCGCGGGGCACAAAGCCGCAGGAGCUGGAAAGCAACAACAGAGACUGCAUAUGCUCAAGAACAAAUAGAAGAUUUUAAAAACAUGACAGAUGUAUUGGGCCAUAAGGAAAUUCUCAGAAACCCAAAGAGUUACGGACUAAUGCCACCAUGGCUGACAGCAGUACAACAAAAUAUAGAGAAAAGCCACAUCCUUCCUGGGAUAUGGGCCGUCCUCUGCCUGGGGGUGAAGUUCUUGUUGCUGCCUGCUGCUGCCUGGUUCAGGUUUGGUUCUCUCCAUUCAUGUUGGAGAUCACUGCCAAACAUUUGUGGAAAAUGGAAUGGAAAAAGGUACAUUUAUUUUGGUACAAAAAGCUUAGAAAUAUGUACUUUUUAAAAAAAAUAAUAUUUUCCAUGAACUUUUUUAAGUUGAUGGGUCCUCUUCCUGGGGCUUUCUUUGAAGCUUACAUCUCCCCAGGCCAAUGGCCAGAGCAAAGGUAUGCACAGUUUUCCUGAGUGUUGCCACACAGAUUUCCAACGUCAUCCUCUGGUCAGAAAAUCUGAUUUUGUUCAUUUGCUUGCAUCCUCGCCAGCACUGGAAUUGCUCAGGUUUUUGAAAGUUUGGUUUUGCCUGAAGGCAAACAUACCUAUCUCUUCUUUCUGGACUCUGGGGAAGUCCUGUGUCAUUUCCUUUGAUCCUAUCGAUCCUUUGCAUUUUGUCUUUCCCGAGCUGCCUGUUCAUGCAUCUUGCCCAUUUUUUACAGGUUGGUUUCCAUGCUUAAUAAUGCCUUUUCUAUUUUAUAUGAAUGUCUUGGGAAAAUUUUUGGAUAAAAAAUUUACUGUGCUGGCAGAAAAUGAUUUCUUAGUAAAAUAUUUUGAAUUUUCUUGUAUUGAGCAGUAAUGUCGUAUGCAUAGCCUGUUUGAUAUUUGGGCUUAAUAAAAGUAAAAUUUUGGCUUAUUGGAAUUUUAUUUCUUUGAUAAAUAUGUUAGAGUUGGGAAGAGUGGGAAAUGUUUAUAGGUGAUCAUUUUAGAGAACUGUAUUUUAAUUCUAAGUGCAGUCAGUGACUUCCCUGCCGUGGAGAGUUUUGCACUGUGAAGACUUCAUGUAGAUGUGUGGUGGGACUUGUAGCUCAUACCCAUAUCUAGCAUCCUCAAAGUGGAUGCUCCCUCCUGGGUCUUUGUGUUUCUGAAAGGGCAGACCUGCUCAGAGCGCCCUGACAGUGCAGCCACUCCCAUUCUUCAGCUGUGACUGAUACAAGUGAAGCGAAUUGCCUUAUUGCUCCAGCUUAUUUGCUGGGCAGCCUGACCAUGGCGGAUGGCCCACAUUCCCUGCCACGCCAUUCUCCCUGAGCUGUGUGGCCUGCUAUGUGGCUGAUGCCUGGGUAGCCAGUUUGUGAGAGUGGGUCCUUGGCAGAUUUUUCAUGUUUUGGGAGGAGAUGACUGAGGGUGGUGGUUCUGGCCCACCCUGAUUGUCUGCAUGCUGUUCUGGGUGUGCAGAAUGAGAUACAUGGUUCCAUGGAACUGCUGGGACUCGAGUCCCUUCCCAAGGCAUGCACUCAAGUGUACCAGAGCCUUGAAAAUGGUUAAAGACCCUGGCUGCCACUAACUGGUUGCUGUGGCUUUUAUGAGACCGUGUGCCCAGCCAAAGACCCCAAUCCCUGCUGGUCACUAGCUUCUGUCAUUUCCUGUAUUAAACAAAUCAUGAAUAAUACUUUCUAGGAGACUGAGAAAUUCUAGGGUAUAGCAUCCCCGUGGCGGGUGUGGGUUUAUUGCCACUUGGCAUUGGAAGGAAGGCAUUGGUUUGGCAGUGUGGGAGAGGAAACAGACAUGGAUCAGGAUGUGCACUCACCAGUGUUAAGUAAUGUGCACGUUGGAGAUGCAGAUGCAGCCUGAAUGAGGGAAACAGGGUGGGGUGCUAUGGCAGGAGGUGGCGAUCACAGUAGGAGCUCACACACAAGUAAGUGGGCAGUGGAGAAACAUCUAUCUUCCCAUUUGCUGGGACUUGAGACGAAAGUUUCAGAGAACAGAUUCUGAAGAAUCUGACUUCUGGGGAAUAGAUUAGGGUCUGGUGACAUGAAAUACGAUGGGUCUGGACCAUUAAACUUUGAGAAAUAUUCUUAGCACCUGUUUCUUGGCAUUGCAAAAUGUUUGUAGCCCAAUACUUUUGGCUCUGAUGGAAUGGACUGCGAUGUUUCAAUCUCAGGAGAGCAGAUUAAAGUGGAGGCACAGAUGAAACUCCAGGUCUGCUGUAUGACUCUGGACAAGUUAUCCAUGCAUCUUCAAAUUGCUUGCCUUGUCUGUAACUAAGAAAAUAGUACCUUCCUCCCCGUACUGUGAAAACUAAACAGCAUAAAUAGACAGGUGAGCGUUUCGUCCACUGGAAAGGAGUAAACACUAGCAAGGUAGCCACAUGUCUGGAUCCGACUGGUUCUUUCACAAAUGGUAGAGUUAGGAAAGGCAUCCCCAGACUCUCCAGCAUCUCUCUUUUUAAGUUUCAUGUUUAGCAAAAAUAAUGCAUGCACACAGCUUGAGAAAUAAGACACAGAUUGAGGACUCCUUAUCAAGAUGCUUGGGACCAGAAAUAUUUCAGAUUUCAGAUUUCUAAAAAGUGAAAUUAAAAGAUAAGUUUAUUUUGGUACAAAAGCUUUUGAAAUGCAUGUAUAGUUAUUUCAUAAUGUGCAUUUUUAUGAACUUUUUGAAGACUCCUUAUAUGUGUAGAUUUCAAGUUUCUUUUUUGACACAAAAAUCAUUCUCUGGAUACUUGUGGAAGUCCCAGCAUAUCUGCAUAUGCACCACGAGCUACCUUGGGGAGGGGGCUGAAUGUGCAAUUCACUUGUGUUUCAUGUGUACCUUACAUACAUAACCCAAAGGUGAUUUUACUGCGCUUUAAAAAUAUUGCGCAUUAGACAAAGUUUCAUGAUGUAGACUUUUCAGUUUUGGAUCUUGGAGCAGUUUGGAUUUUAGAUUUGUGAUGCUCAGUCUGAGACAUACUUGGACAUCACAUACCCAGACGAGACCUUACUGGUGUGAUCGCACCUCCCUUUCACCCAGAUCUGCUCCUGGGAAGAGACAGUGUGCAGCCCUUCAGGGAGUUUUCCUGUGUUACUGGGUGGAAUGCAGUGUUGCUGUGAAUAGCUCACUGACUUUGCACAUUGGUUUUUUACUUUUCUCUCAUGUGUGAGGAUUCAACUCUCCUUUUCUACCUCUUCCUAGCUCUCUUUCUUCCAGGAUUACUGUCACAUUAUUUCAGUUAAGCUAGUGAUCAGUGUGUAUUGCUAACUGUGUGAAUUCUUCCUUGCAGAUUCACGAAGUGUAUUGUAGGUAUACCCUGCUUUCAUCUUGUCUUGGAUUAAUGCGGUCAUUGUUCCUCCUUGUGUUAUCAUCCUAUUUAAUGCGUUUUCUAACUGUGUGCACAUUGAUUUUGGUAGAACCAAGUAGUAGACCAGGCUUAUGUUGUUCCUGUUAUAGGUUUCCAUAUUUCCUUAUUGGCUGCAUCACCUCCUCCUGCUUUUCAUUUUCUCAACAAGUAUCCUCGCGUCUGGAUGAGCCAUGACGAGCUCUAGGCAUCUGGAGCCCUCUGUCCUCGGCACCAUCUGUUGGGAAUACAAGACUUCCUCUGCUCUUCUGGGUUGAAUCUAUUUCCUGCAGCUCUUUCUCCAUUUAUUUUUUUAUUUUGCUGGAUCACACCCUCCAAUGACUUCCAAAGAGAAGGAAAUGGAAGGUAAUGCUUUUGCAUUGUCCUACAUCUCAAAAUAUCUUUGAUCAGUCGCACACUAGGUUGGGAGCUUGGCUGGACAGAGAGCUCCUUUAGGACUUUUAGUUCAGCAUUGGCUGUCAGGGAGUGUGAUCAGUCUGGAUUUGUAACUCAGAGUCAUUGAGAAAUCCCAGCUCAUUCUGAUUCUCCUGCUUUGGAUAUGAUAGGGAUGCUGCUUUCGCUCCCGCACAUUCUCUGAAAUUCUUUCAACAUCAUUUCCUUUACCUUGAAUCCUCUGCGGUAUCAUUAAGAUGUCCAGUCUUGUAUGCUUUUCCAGCCCUGUGCUGGGCACUGCAGUAGCCAUUCUACCUCAUGCUUCAUAUUUUAAAUAUGAGAAAUUUUCUUGAAUUGAUGUUUCCCUAAUAACUUUCACUUGUGUUCUUGGUCUCAUUUUUGGAAACCUUCCUUUUUAUGCUUUUCAGAGGCUGGACCUCUUGGAUUAGUCGGUUUCAUCCCUAAUAUUCUCAUAUAAUUCCAUCCUUUUUUAUUAUUUUUUGAGUGAUUUCUUUAAAUUUAUCUUCCAACUAUUUAUUAAAGUUGUAUAUUGAUGUUAAUUAUAUUUUUAAUUGUGAUAUUUUCCCCUAUUCUCCAGUGUUCCUGACUUACAUACAAUAUAGAUGGAGUAUUUGACCCUAACGCUGAAGACAUUAACACACAUCUGAAAUUUCCUUCUGUUCUCUACACUGUCACCUUCCCAUGCUUUGGAUUUUUCUCUCCUGUCAGAGUCUUUUCUUACGUUUCUGUGCUGUACCUCUGCAUCUCUUUUCUGAUUCCUGUCUGUGUGUCCAUCCAUAUUUAUCUAUGUAUCACUGUGACUGGGUCAGAGGAUGCUUAUUCCGGUCAGAUAUGACUUCUGGGUGUGUCUGUGGGGACAUUAGCCUUAGGGUGGAUAGAUGAGUAUGGCAGAAGACCCUCCCUUGUGUGGGUGGGCAUCACCCCAAUCUCUAGGGACCAAUACAGGAAACAGUGCAGGAAUGUAUAUCUCCCUGGCUCCUUGCCUGACUGCUUGAGUUGGGACAUCAGCCUGCUCCUGCCCUUGGUCCUCCUGGUCCUCACCUUCAGACUUGGCCAACAUGUGCACCAUUGUCACCUUAGUCCUCACCUUUGGACUUGGUCAACAUCUGCACCAUUGGUCAUCACUUUCAGACCUGGUUGGAAUCCACUGUUGGUCCCUAGGUCCCCAGCCCUGGACCGCAGCACUGCCCUUCCUGGUUCCCCUGCUUGUCCCUGGCAGAUCACGGGACUUCCCAGCCUGUACCAUCACAUGUGCCUGUUUCUUAUGAUCAGUCUCAUGUUAUGUGCGUAUGCACUUCACAGAGUUUGAGGCUGGGUGUUGUGGCACAGCAGGUUAAGCUGCUGCUUGGAAUGCCUUUAUUCCAUAUUGGAGUGCCUGGAAUUGAGCCCUACUUGUGAUCCAGCUCCCUACUAAUGUGCUUGGGAGUCAGCAGAUGGUGAACCAAGUACUUGGACCCUUGACACCCAUGUGAGAGGCCUGGAUGGAGUUCCUGGCACCUGGCUUCAUUCUGGCCCAGCCCUGGCUGUUGUGGAAAUUUGGGGUGUGAACCAGCAGAUGGAAGACUCCUCUCUCUGUCUCUCUGCCUUUCCUUUUUUUUAAUUUAGUAAAUAUAAAUUUCCAAGGUACAGUUUAUGGUUUACAUUGGCUCCCCCCCCCCAUAAUUUCCCUCCCACUCCCAUUCCAUUCACAUCAAGAUUCAUUUUCUUUUCUUUUUUUUUUAAUUCAUAGGCUUUUAUUGGGGUUCCGCUCCCGGGUGAGGUUCCCCGGUCCCAACAGAGCAACAGAGCGGGGCCAGGGAAGUCAUUGAUUUUCAAUUAUCUUUAUAUACAGAAGAUCGAUUCAGUAUAUAUUAAGUAAAGAUUUCAUCAGUUUGCACCCACACAGAAACACAAAGUGUAAAAAUACUGUUUGAGUACUAGUUAUAGCAUUACUUCACAUUGGACAACACAUUAAGGACAGAUCCCACAUGAGAAGUAAGUACACAGUGACUCCUGUUGUUGACUUAACAAUUUGACACUCUUGUUUAUGGCAUCAGUAAUCUCCCUAGGCUCUAGUCAUGAGUUGCCAAGGCUAUGGAAGCCUUUUGAGUUUGCCGACUUUGAUCUUAUUCCAACAGGAUCAUAGUCAAAGUGGAAGUUCUCUCCUCCCUUCAGAGAAAGGUACCUCCUUCUUUGAUGGCCCCGUUCUUUCCACUGGGAUCUCACUAGCAGAGAUCUUUCAUUUAGGUCUUCUUUUUUUUUUUUUCCAGAGUGUCUUGGCUUUCCAUUGCCUAAAAUACUCUCAUGGGCUCUUCAGCCAGAUCCGAAUGCCUUAAGGGCUGAUUCUGAGGCCAGAGUGCUAGUUAGGACAUCUGCCAUUCUAUGAGUCUGCUGUGUAUCCCGCUUCCCACGUUGGAUCGUUCUCUCCCUUUUUGAUUCUAUCAGUUAGUACUAGCAGACACUAGUCUUGUUUGUGUGAUCCCUUUGACUCUUAGACCUAUCAAUGUGAUCAAUUGUGAACUGAAGUUGAUCACUUGGAAUAGUGAGAUGGCAUUGGUACAUGCCACCUUGAUGGGAUUGUAUUGGAAUCCCCUGGCACAUUUCUAACUCCACCAUUUGGGGCAAGUCCGAUUGAGCAUGUCCUAAAUUGUACAUCUCCUCCCUCUCUUAUUCCCACUCUUAUAUUUAACAGGGAUCACUUUUCAGUUAAAAUUUCAACACCUAAGAAUAAUUGUGUGUUAAUUACAGAGUUCAACCAAUAGUACUAGAACAAAAAAAUACUAAAAUGGAUAAAGUAUUACAUUGUACUUCAACAGUCAGGACAAGAGCUGAUCAAGUCACUGUUUCUCAUAGUGUUCAUUUCACUUCAACAGGGUUCCCUUUUGGUGCUCAGUUAGUUGUUGCCAAUCAGGGAGAACAUAUGAUAUUUGUCCCUUUGGGACUGGCUUAAUUCACUCAGCAUAAUGUUUUCCAGAUUCCUCCAUCUUGUUGCAAAUGACUGGGUUUCAUUGUUUUUGACUGAUGUAUAGUAUUCUAUAGAAUACAUGUCCCAUAAUUUCUUUAUCCAGUCCACUAUUGAUGGGCAUUUGGGUUGGUUCCAGGUCUUAGCUAUUGUGAAUUGAGCUGCAAUAAACAUUAAGGUGCAGGCAGCUUUUUUGUUUGCCAUUUUAAUUUCCUUUGGGUAAAUUCCAAGGAGUGGGAUGGCUGGGUUGAAUGGUAAGAUUAUAUUCAGGUUUCUGAGGAAUCUCCAGACUGACUUCCAUAGUGGCUUUACCAGUUUACAUUCACACCAACAGUGGGUUAGUGUCCCUUUUUCCCCACAUCCUUGCCAGCAUCUAUUGUUGGUAGAUUUCUGAAUGUGAGCCAUUCUAACCGGGGUGAGGUGAAACCUCAUUGUGGUUUUGAUUUGCAUUUCCCUGAUUGCUAGUGAUCUUGAACAUUUUUUCAUGUGUCUGUUGGCCCUUUGUAUUUCCUCUUUUGAAAAAUGUCUAUUGAGGUCCUUGGCCCAUCUCUUAAGUGGGUUGUUUGUUUUGAUGUUGUGGAGUUUUUUGAUUUCCUUGUAGAUUCUGGUUAUCAACACUUUAUCUGUUUCAUAGUUUGCAGAUAUUUUUUCCCAUUCUGUAGGUUGCCUCUUCACUUUGCUGACUGUUUCUUUUGAAGUACAGAAACUUCUCAAUUUGAUGCAAUCCCAAAUGUUAAUUUUGGCUUUGACUGCCUGUGCUUCUGGGGUCUUUUCUAGGAAGUCUUUGCCAUUACCUAUAUCUUGCAGGGUUUCUCCAAUGCUCUGUAAUAAUUUUAUGGUGUCCGGUCAUAGAUUUAAGUCUUUAAACCAUGUUGAGUGAAUUUUUGUGUAAGGUGUAAGGUAGGGGUCUUGCUUCAUGAUUCUGCACGUGGAAAACCAGUUUUCCCAGCACCAUUUAUUGAAUAGACUGUCCUUACUCCAGGGAUUGGUUUUAGAUCCUUGAUCAAAUAUAAGUUGGCUGUAGAUGUUUGGAUUGAUUUCUGGUGUUUCUAUUCUGUUCCAUUGGUCUAUCCAUCUGUUUCUGUUCCAUUACCAUGCUGUUUUGAUUACAACUGCCCUGUGGUAUGGCCUGAAAUCUGGAUUGUGAUGCCUCCGGCUUUGUUUUUGUUGUACAAGAUUGCUUUAGCUGUUCAAGGUCUCCUGUGCCUCCAUAUGAAUCUCAGAAUCAUUUUUUCUAGAUCUGAGAAGAAGGUCUUUGGUAGUUUGAUUGGUAUUGCAUUGAAUGCAUAAAUUGCUUUUGGGAGAAUGGACAUUUUGAUGAUAUUGAUUCUUCCAAUCCGUGAGCAUGGAAGAUUUUUCCAUUUUUUGGUAUCCUCUUCUAUUUCUUUCUUUAAGGUUUUGUAAUUUUCAUCAUAG